Molecule: ribosomal RNA, 254 nt
Filed under: uncultured bacterium
Lineage: Bacteria
Description: partial 16S ribosomal RNA
Rfam family: Bacterial small subunit ribosomal RNA
Source: RNAcentral
GACGUAGGGCGCGAGCGUUGUCCGGAUUUAUUGGGCGUAAAGAGCUCGUAGGCGGCUUGUCGCGUCGUCCGUGAAAACCCAUGGCUCAACUGUGGGCUUGCGGUCGAUACGGGCAUGACUGGAGUUCGGCAGGGGAGACUGGAAUUCCUGGUGUAGCGGUGAAAUGCGCAGAUAUCAGGAGGAACACCGGUGGCGAAGGCGGGUCUCUGGGCCGAUACUGACGCUGAGGAGCGAAAGCGUGGGGAGCGAACAGG